AAGGGCACCACAAGAACGCGUGGAGCAUGUGGCUUAAUUUGACUCAACGCGGGAAAUCUUACCGGGUCCGGACACACUGAGGAUUGACAGGCAAUAUCUAUUAAAAGAAUAUUAUUUUAAUAUCUCUUUUUAAUAGUGUUAAAUAUGCUAGUCCUUUCAUGAUUAUGUGAUAGGUGGUGCAUGGCCGUUCUUAGUUCGUGGAGUGAUCUGUCUGCUUAAUUGCGUUUCACUAAGGGCCCAUAAAUUCAAGGUAUGUUAGCUAUUGUUACCCUAUUGACCCCUUAUUCUUAUAAGCGCGUGUCUUUAUGGGUUUAAACAUUGCGCAUGCUGUUGGGUCCUGAAAGCAACGAACGUGACCGCAACGUCUUGUUGCCUUUAUCUUGUUAUAUCUAUUAUUUUAUAAUAGAAUAACAAGUUGUUAUAUCUAUUAUUUUUUAAUAGAAUAACUAACAGAGGCUAAUCUAAAACUAGACGGACCGCUGUUUCUUUCUUAAACCAGAGGAAGGUUGCGGCAAUAACAGGUCUGUGAUGCCCUUAGAUGUUCCGGGCUGCACACGUGCUACAAUGAUCAGUACAGUGAGCAUCUCACUUUAUAUACACCGUAUUUAGCGCUGAGAUAUGAUUAUUGGCUCUUUUAGGGUCUUUUAAUUGUAUUUCUUAUGCGCGCGGUAAAGCCUGCUUCGAGAGUAAGUGGGUAAUCCAUUGGAAGUAAUGAUUUCUCUUUUAUAUAGCACACCUAUAUACGGCAUUCAUUCCCGGGAUGACUAGUUUCGUCUUUUUUGUGCGAAUGUAAUGUAUUUCUUAUCCGUAUGUGCGAUUGUCAAUUCAUGGUGGGGACAGACCAUUGUUAAUUGUUGGUCUCGGUCUUAACUAGGAAUGCCUUGUACGGGUCUUUGGUUCAACAAACCACCCGGAAUACGUCCCUGCCCUUUGUACACACCGCCCGUCGCUCUUACCGAUGAACUUCUUUGUGAGUCUAAGGGACUGGGUUAAUAGCUAUUUUUAUAGUUAUAUACCUAUGGAAACUUAUACGAACAAUGUGGUUUAAAGGAAAGAGAAGUCGUAACAAGGCAACAGUAGGUGAACCUGCUGAUGGAUCAAAGGGCGAAUUCUGCAGAUAUCCAU
This 1125-nucleotide ribosomal RNA is filed under the name Pulleniatina obliquiloculata. RNAcentral describes it as "SSU rRNA". It matches the Rfam family "Eukaryotic small subunit ribosomal RNA", at positions 1160 to 1831 of the family's 1831-position model. Lineage: Eukaryota; Foraminifera; Rotaliida; Pulleniatinidae. The record is from RNAcentral.